Sander lucioperca (pikeperch) is the source of this 168-nucleotide long non-coding RNA. RefSeq lists it as uncharacterized. The transcript is spliced from 3 exons. Lineage: Eukaryota; Metazoa; Chordata; Actinopteri; Perciformes; Percidae. The record is from RefSeq and is a predicted model, not a curated record.
GUCAAAUAAGUCUUUCUUUUGCUUAGGAAGGUUCCUAACUGAGUGAAAUGACCCAGAAGUAUCUAAGUGACAGCCAUGAUAAGAGCUGGUCGAAUUCUCUGAAUGCUAAAGAAAGGUGCUUCAAUGCUUCCUUUCUUAUCUCCUUUAGCAAAGGGUACACUGGCCCAC